UAGGUCUUCCUUUCUUGUGACCAAGUCCUC
RNAcentral lists this non-coding RNA (30 nucleotides) under Mus musculus (house mouse). The record is from RNAcentral. Lineage: Eukaryota; Metazoa; Chordata; Mammalia; Rodentia; Muridae.